GAGUUUGAUCAUGGUCAGGAUAAACGCUGGCGGCGUGCCUAAUGCAUGCAAGUCGAACGGACAGCCCUUCGGGGCUGUUAGUGGCAAACGGGUGAGUAACACGUGGGUCACGUACCCUGAGGUGGGGGAUAACCCGAGGAAACUCGGGCUAAUACCGCAUAUGGCUACGGCUAAAAGCCUUCGGGCGCCUUUGGAACGGCCCGCGGCCGAUUAUUUAAUCCUAGUUGGUGAGGUAACGGCUCACCAAGGGUACGAUCGGUAGCUGGUCUGAGAGGACGAUCAGCCACACUGGGACUGAGACACGGCCCAGACUCCUACGGGAGGCAGCAGUGGGGAAUAUUGGACAAUGGGCGAAAGCCUGAUCCAGCCAUGCCGCGUGGGUGAAGAAGGCC
Molecule: ribosomal RNA, 392 nt
Filed under: uncultured Gammaproteobacteria bacterium
Lineage: Bacteria; Pseudomonadati; Pseudomonadota; Gammaproteobacteria
Description: bacterial SSU rRNA
Rfam family: Bacterial small subunit ribosomal RNA
Source: RNAcentral